RNAcentral lists this ribosomal RNA (232 nucleotides) under uncultured bacterium. Its description in RNAcentral is "partial 16S ribosomal RNA". It matches the Rfam family "Bacterial small subunit ribosomal RNA", at positions 118 to 350 of the family's 1533-position model. The record is from RNAcentral.
UGGGCAACCCGCCCCCGACCCUGGGAUAACCCCAGGAAACCGGAGCUAAUACCGGAUACUCUCCUCUGACCACCUGGUCGGAUGAGGAAAGGUCCGCCGGUCGGGGAUGGGCCCGCGGCCUAUCAGCUUGUUGGUGGGGUAACGGCCUACCAAGGCAUCGACGGGUAGCUGGUCUGAGAGGACGACCAGCCACACUGGGACUGAGACACGGCCCAGACUCCUACGGGAGGCA